Molecule: long non-coding RNA, 1350 nt
Organism: Manis pentadactyla (Chinese pangolin)
Lineage: Eukaryota; Metazoa; Chordata; Mammalia; Pholidota; Manidae
Exons: 4
Source: RefSeq, a predicted model, not a curated record
AUGACUUCCCUGGGCACUGGCCAUAAAAUCUGAUGCUCACUGUGGCCUGGGAGCCCGCAGAGCUCUCUACUUCCUCUAUUCACACUGGCCUCAUGGUGUGUGCAGCACAAAGAGGGAACCCAAAUAAUGUACCAAUAUUGGCUCAUCAAUUACAGCAAACGCAUCAUGCUAAUUAAUGCAAGAUGACAAUAAUAGGGGACACUGUAUAUACCGUGGGGAUGGGGGGCGGGGGUAUAUGGGAACUCUGUACUUCCAUUCAAUUUUUCAGUAGACCUAAACAAUAAAGUCUAUUUUUUUUAAAGUUCUUAUAGAAUUUAACUUACAUAAAGUUAAAAUGGAGUUUGAUUUGUUCAUCACUGUCUCAUCCUCUAGCCCGUGUACGCCAGGAGAACCAGAAGUGGGCCUGAAUCUCCAUGGUGAGUGAAGAGUGACUCAGUGAGUCAGUCGGCAGACAGCACAGGGCAUGGUACAGAGCGGCUUCCAGUGUGUGGAAACAGGUUACCGGGAUGUUGGCAUCCCCUCACCAACGCCUGCUCUGUGAUUGCUGCACAGUGGCCUUUGUGACAUGGACAAAGAAUCAGUAUUCCGCAAGGAAAAUUUUGUCCUUUCAGUAAACCUGUGUCUCACUCAGCUGACAUGUGGAGAAGCACAGCGAGAGGCACUGCCCUUGAGGACAGGCAGCAAUUUGUGUCAUCCACCUCUCACGUGGUGUCACGUGCAUCAUAGACUUUAAAUCACCGAACCUUCGCUUCCAUCUACUGUUGCUUCUGGAUUCCCUCACCCAGUUCCCAGGGCAUAUGUUUGACCAGAUGGCUUGGACUUCUGGUGGCCGACUCAGCUGCUCAAGAACAUGGUUGUGCUUAACCUCAUCAACUUGACUCAGCUUCAGUUCAUCCUGGGGUAGGAGCAUGAUACUGAUCAGUUUAAUUAGUUUAAUGAGGGCUGAGGGAACUGGUCCAGAUUUUGAGUUUGUUGCACAGAACAAAUUGGUUUGCCUCCUUCCCUCAAUCAUUUUAGCAUUCGGAGGGAGAACUGCUCUCAUUAACCACUUAGGAAAAGGGCUUUACCCUCUUCCUCUCCUUUGAGGACUUGAGCACUGCCCAGGGUAACAUGGACUGGAGUCCAGGAACUUAGUUCUUCAAAAGGUGUGUUCCUAAACAAAAGAACUCAGAGUACACCAACUGAACAUUUAAUCUCCAGAAGACUGAACUCUCUUCCGUAGGAAUUUCUACUCCAAUAAUAGGCAGUGUUUUUGAGCAUUUUAUCUAAAGCAUGGUGUCCAAAGUGGGGUGCACAAGGAGAUCCUUUGAGGUUUGGGAAUAAAUGUUAGGAUUCCUUUUUGUUUAUUGA